Molecule: long non-coding RNA, 1294 nt
Organism: Mauremys mutica (yellowpond turtle)
Lineage: Eukaryota; Metazoa; Chordata; Testudines; Geoemydidae
Exons: 5
Source: RefSeq, a predicted model, not a curated record
UCCAGUAUAAUAGCACUGACUUGAGCUAAUGCAGUCCUUCAAUUUGUGCCCUGGACUUGAGUGAAAUUGCACAGGAAAUGAAUUUAGCCCUCUGUCUGCAGUGUGAAAAGCAACAAAAAGAGGAAGUGCCUCAACCCACUCUAGCUCAGAUUUUCAUAGUUGAUUGCAGGAUUGGGCCUCGUAUAUGUAGUCUAUUACAGUAGCAUUUAGCAGGAAACACCUGAUUCUCAGAUAUCUUCUAUAUAAUCACUGAGAAACAGAAUAAAGUAACACUUUUUAAACUUCAUCAAUAAAGGAGGGGGGGAGUUCUUCAGUUGAAAUUUGGCAGCUACAAUCCUAGUGGAUUUUUUUUUAAAUGGUACGUAAACAGGAUUCCUGCGGAGAACUGUGUGGCUUCAGGAAAAACAGUGGCAGAUGACUGGAUUGAUUAAGGUGGAACUCUGAUAGGACCAUAGCAGGAGGACUCUAACCUCAUGAAUCAUCACAAAGCCAUUCUCUGAGGUGGAGAACUGCUAGGUUGGGAUGAAGCAUGUGCUGAAAAUGAGGAAUGAUUGGGAGCCUGAACUGCAGUUGGACACAUAAGUGAAACCACAGGGCAUCAGAAGACUCCAUUCCAGGAACAUUCGAACAAAUGAAAGCCUAGGAAGUGGCUGAGGCUGGAGCAGGAAGAGAGGAAGUGGCCCUGCCUGCUGACCAAUUCUGGAUAGAAGCUUUUUUUUUUUUUUCCCUUUGCUGGACCACGACCAUUCAAUGGAGUGAGUAGCAGGAAGUAUUGAAAGAGAGAUACUGUUAGCACUGUUUCCACAUACCUCAAAGACUGAUCUUUAUGCAGCUGAGACUCCAAGGGAUAUCCCUUAAAAUAAAGGCCAGCUUAUUACCCAUCUUCUCCAGCUCCCGGGGAACUAAAUACUCUGAAGUAGAGAGAAAUUGUUGCACAAUGCUUCUUUAUAGCUCUCAGUGUGCCUUCUUUGCUGGCUCCAGCUGCCCCUAAACUCUGUUUUUCCUAGUCUUUUCUCCAAUAUUUUUUCCAGUUGACUUAGUUAUUACAGUACAUGGACCAGACUGAGGAAAAUACAUUGAAGGUUGGAGUUGGCAAAGCAGUAAGUGCUAUGAGAGGGAAGUACUCUUGCCAUGCAAUGACAUCAUCUGGGAGUUAAUUGGUUGCAUUCCUGCUGAUGGGAGGUGCUGGCUGGAGUCCUUACACUUACUUCCGUGAUACAGAACAGAGACAGUGCCUGUCUCUUGCCAGCCUGCUUCAUUGGCAGUACUCUGGCAAAGUCUAAGACGCUUACAA